This is a long non-coding RNA of Salvelinus sp. IW2-2015, 217 nucleotides long. RefSeq lists it as uncharacterized. Lineage: Eukaryota; Metazoa; Chordata; Actinopteri; Salmoniformes; Salmonidae. The record is from RefSeq and is a predicted model, not a curated record.
UUCCCAGCAGGUUGACUGUUAGUUCUACUUUGACCCCCAACACCCCAGUGAGACCAACUACCAAUAGCUCCACUAAAUGUUUGACCUCUCCUUUGACCCCCAGUACAGCGGUGAAUCCUUCAUCAGGUUCAACUGUUAAUUCUUCUCAGACCACUGACACUCCAAGUAAAGGUAAGUAUGUCCACUAGACUUUAGUUUAGUGUGUAAUAAGUUGUGU